CUGUGGGUAGCGUAAACAGUUAACGCACUUGGCUGCUAACCAAAAGGUUAGAGAUUCAAGUCCACCCAGAGG
RNAcentral lists this transfer RNA (72 nucleotides) under Loxodonta africana (African savanna elephant). It matches the Rfam family "tRNA". From Rfam's summary of the family: Transfer RNA (tRNA) molecules are approximately 80 nucleotides in length. Lineage: Eukaryota; Metazoa; Chordata; Mammalia; Proboscidea; Elephantidae. The record is from Rfam by way of RNAcentral.